Molecule: transfer RNA, 66 nt
Filed under: Pamphorichthys hollandi
Lineage: Eukaryota; Metazoa; Chordata; Actinopteri; Cyprinodontiformes; Poeciliidae
Description: tRNA-Cys
Rfam family: tRNA
About the family: Transfer RNA (tRNA) molecules are approximately 80 nucleotides in length. Their secondary structure includes four short double-helical elements and three loops (D, anti-codon, and T loops).
Source: RNAcentral
AGCCUUGAGGUGUAAACACAUCAGAUUGCAAAUCUGAAGAAGCAGGUUAAUAUCUUGCCGGGGCUU